This 558-nucleotide ribosomal RNA is filed under the name Triticum aestivum (bread wheat). RNAcentral describes it as "partial small subunit ribosomal RNA". Lineage: Eukaryota; Viridiplantae; Streptophyta; Magnoliopsida; Poales; Poaceae. The record is from RNAcentral.
AUGGCGAGCAAGGCGACGGCGGCGACGUCGUGGCGGUGGCGGCUGCUGCUGCUGCUGCUGGUGGCGGUGGCGGCGCUGUGCUGGAUCCCGCCGGCGAUCGCGAUGGCGGCGGCGGCGUCGACGGCCAAGAAGGGGGCGCGGAGGUCGCUGCUGGGGUUCGUGGAGGCGCAGGGCAACUCCUCCUACCGCUGCAGCCCCUCCGGCCCCUGCAUCCCCUGCCAGUACUCCGAGAAGAAUGACGAGAAGUACUGUUGCAGCGAAACUGGCUACCGUUUGCCUUUGAAAUGUAUACAGGUACAAAAUGGUACAAAAGAAGAGAACAAAACAAAGGAUAGAAAGAUGUUGGCAGAGACAUCCAUGCCAGCUGGCCCAAAACAUUAUGUUACUUACAGGAGUUGUGUACCAUUGGAGGCUGAAGAGAAACUAUCUAUUCUUGGUUUCGAGGUCCUCAUGGCUGGAAUGUUGCUUGUAAGUGGGCCGUUCGUGUAUUACCGGAAAAGGCAAGCAAGUGUAAUGCAAGGGGUUUCAAGAAUCCCGACAAACCCUCCUAGGUUUUAG